ACUAGCAGUAAGAGUUUGANCCUGGCUCAGAACGACGCUGGCGCAGGCCUAACACAUGCAAGUCGAACGCUCCAGCAAUGGAGAGUGGCAGACGGUGAGUAACACGUGGGAACCUUCCGUAUGGUUCGGAAUAGCUCGAAGGGAAACGUUUGGGGUAAUACCGGAUUAAGCCCUUCGGGGGAAAGAUUUAUCGCCAUUUGGAUGGGCCCGCGUCGGAUUAGCUAGUUGGUGAGGUAACGGCUCACCAAGGCGACGAUCCGUAGCUGGUCUGAGAGGAUGAUCAGCCACACUGGGACUGAGACACGGCCCAGACUCCUACGGGAGGCAGCAGUGGGGAAUCUUGCGCAAUGGCCUAACGGCUGACGCAGCGACGCCGCGUGUGGGAGGACGCCCUUCGGGGUGUAAACCACUGUUGCCCGGAACGAACCUGCCCCAUUGGGGGCACUGACGGUACCGGGUGAGGAAGCACCGGCUAACUCCGUGCCAGCCGCCGCGGUAAUUC
Molecule: ribosomal RNA, 502 nt
Filed under: uncultured bacterium
Lineage: Bacteria
Description: bacterial SSU rRNA
Rfam family: Bacterial small subunit ribosomal RNA
Source: RNAcentral